Molecule: long non-coding RNA, 4820 nt
Organism: Cannabis sativa
Lineage: Eukaryota; Viridiplantae; Streptophyta; Magnoliopsida; Rosales; Cannabaceae
Exons: 4
Source: RefSeq, a predicted model, not a curated record
UCAACUCUUUCUGCCUAAACAACAAAAUCGCAGGCACACUUCAGGCUCCAUCUAAGGCUAAUGGGUUCCAAGAGGGGCAGGGAUGGAUUACUUUUGAAAAAAUCAACCAGCUAACCAUUUAUGGUGGCGGAACUUUUGACGGUAACGGUGAAUCCAGCUGGGGACAGCAUUGUAAAAGGACCCAAUAUUGCAGCAAACUCCCCGUUAAUAUUAGAAUGAACUAUCUGAACGACACAGUUAUUAAGAGCAUAAGAUCCGUGGACAGCAAACAAUUCCACUUUGCAAUUAUAGGAGCAGUCAAUCUCAAAGAAAAAAGAUUGGUAGUUUCUGUCAAAGGAGCAAAGGAAGCUAUUUGCUUAAUUGAGAAUUUCUAAGAAAGGUAUUUUAUUCACUUUCAUAAUUUGAUUAAUAUCUAAAUCUUAAUUUGUAUAUAAAUUAAUUUGUUGAUGCUGUCUGUUUUUUAUUUUUCUGCUUGGGAUUUUCUGGGUUAGAAUCGGUUUAGAAAGGGGUGCUGCUGGGUUUUAUUUUCUGGGUUUGUAAGAGGGUUGUUCUUCGUGUUCUUCAAAGAAGAACAACGAAGAAGGAGGCUCUGUUUGGGGUAUUUCGAAUUGGGCAGCAAGGAUUAAUUUCUGGGUUGAUUUUGUUGAUGUCUCUGUGUUCUUCAGAGAAGAACAAAGAAGGAGAACGGCUAGGGUUAAUCUUUAGUGGCUGUGUUUAUGUGUUUAUAAUACGACUUGUAGCUCUUUAAUAAAAGGGCUGUCGUCUGAAUUAAAGGCUGAGAGUAAAAAAAAAAAACAGUAUCCAUUUAUCAAAACAUUUAAAUAAACAAACAAUAUACCUUAUUGUGAUCAAGUCCUCCAAUUGCCUCGAAUUGGAAAUUUUCCUUCAAAAAUGGCCUCACACACCUAUUAUAAAGAAAUUUAUGUUAUUCAUCAUAAAUUUCAAUCAGUAUCCACACAUAUCAUACAUACAUUACUAUAUCUAAUCUAGACAUAUAAAUAUACAUUAUACCUUUUUGUCUUUCAGUCCUUGUUUUUCAAAGCUCUUCAAUCCAAAAAUCUUUACUUUUCAUAAUAAUAUAUAGAUAUAGAUAUUGAGGUUUUCGGAUGAGUUCUAUUUUUUUUGGCAGAAAUAUAUUGACAGAAGGAAGAAUAGAUCGACAGAACUAUAUAUGGGGAGAUAUUUAGGUUUUAUUUAGGGUUUUAUUAUUUUUAAAUAUAAAUAUUUUAAAUAUUUUAAUGAUAUAUAAUCUCUUUUUUAUUCUUAUUUUUUUUUCAUCUGGCAAUUUUAUUGUUAUUCAAAUUCAAAUUCAUCCUAAUAUCUAGCUUUAAAAUAGGUUAAUUAGUUAGUUAGAAAAUUAAUCCUAAUCGGAAUCAGGUGGCACGUAAUACUGGGAAGGGCAUGUGUGCUAUGAAUUUGUUAAAAAGCUGAGAUUGAUAGUUGGAGCUUUACUAUCGCUGUGUUCGGUGUCGAGGAAAACCAGAGAGAAACGGUGGCAGUAGCUACCCCAUAAGUAUGUUGAUGGAUGUUACUUGAAUGUGAAAGUGAAUUCUCUGACCUCAAUCGAUGCCAAUUUGUCAUUUUGUUAUGUUUUUUUUUCUAACUUCAGUGAUUAGAUUUCAAUUAUGGUGUUGUUGAGGUGAUAAUAUUUAUUCUUAAUAGCAAUACCCAUUUUUCACUUUUUUAUUUCUAAAACUUGAGAUAUGUAUUUUCUUCAGAAUUUGAGCAUUCCAUUAUAGUUUUUUCUAUAUUUUUCAAAUUUAUCUGAAUUAUAUCUGUUGUAGUCAAUUCUUGCCUUGAUCUUGAUCGUAGUCGUAGAAUUGGUUAGCUGGUAGAUCUUUCAAGUUAAUUCACCAUUCAAGUGUAUUUUGAGACAGUCCAUGCUACAGCAUCGAGUUUUUCUUUUAUUUGAAUGCUUUUUUUCUUUAUAUGUUCUAUGUUGAUGAAUUGUUGCAUUUGGAUUUGGAGGGUUUAGGUUGCUAGAAGCAGCAGCUAGCUCCCAUAAUAUGUGAAGUUUUGUGGUGACAUAUGAUAUUUUGGCAACGGUCAAGCUGUUGAGUAAUAGUGAUCGUAAACACUGUAAUGUAUUGAUGUGAAUGAGUCACUUGUGUGUUUUUAAGAGCUGCAAAAAAAAAAAUGCUUAAUAUUGUACUAGGAUCAGCAUUACAGGUUUUUGUUGAGAUCAUGUAGUCUGGAGGUUUCACAGUAUAUUUGGCAACAUAAAAGAAUUUACAAAUCACUUCUGAAUUCAUGUCAGGUUAUAUGUAAAAUUCUUUACUUUUUUGGUAGUUUUUUUAGACAAAAUUUUUAAUAUUGAUUUGAAUCUAAAAUAGAAUUUGUAUCUUGUAUACAAUUGUGUAUGUCCACUUCGUUUUGAUCAGAUGAAAGGUGAGGAGCCUUUAAGUGAUGAGUUUAACUACUGAUGAGAAUUGUGUUCAAUUAUUUUGGAAAAUUUAUCAUUAUUCACUCAUAAGUUAAUCUAUAUAUUACUAACUUAAAAUUGUGAAAAUAUAUUUUUACUUUUUACUGGUUGACAUUCUUGAAAGUCAUCAUUUAACAUUUUUUUUUACAGUAGAAAGUGUGUUGUCUGAAACAUAACAUUAUGAAACCAUUAAUUUGCAUUCCCUAUUUUAACAACUAAGCUGGUUUAUCUACUUGUCUAGGUUCUUUACAUGUGUUUACCAACACUGGCUACACAAAGGGGGAUUAAAUAUGAUAACUAAAAUAAGUUCUUGUUGAUACAUGUUUGUGCAAACAAUAAGUAUUCACAAACAUACUUUGACCAGGUUGAGAGAAAUUUAUAAUUAAAAUAAUCUCAAUAUGAUACAUUUAUGAGUAAAUAAAUAUAAAUUUGCACACACGCAUGGAUCCAGUUCAAUGGAUUUGAUCAUAGAAAUCUCUAAUACAUUGAUCCAGUUUAGUAUAUUGUUCAUACAAAUCCACUCUCUGUGAUAUAUGUUUGUGUAAACAAUAAACACACUUGAACACACAUACACAAACAUAUUUCCCUGGUCAAGUAGGGUUGAUCUUUAAGAUGAAUUUUUUUAAAAAGAAAUUCAUAAAAGUAUGUUCUAAUUUUUGAACCAAUAGCUAAUCAAUCACAGGGAAAGUUCGUAUAAUUUGUCCUCCUACUAUUGUUGGUUUGAAUUCAUAAAAAUUAGUGCAUGUUUGACAUCAUAACUAAAAAAUUGUUUUUUGUUUUUAAAAACAGAAAAUUAUUUUUUGAAAACAAUUUGGCUUGUUUGGCCUAGUAUAAUAAUAAGUGCAGAAACAGGCAGAUGUGAACUCACUUCUUCUGCUACUGGGAUUGCUAUGCCACAUACUGCCAUUGAUGUUCAAAUAUGCAGCAGCGCCGGGGAUUUAUGUUGGAAACUAUACGCUUCAGUUGUCUAGAGCAAGUAGCAUUUUUAUGCUUUUGGCCUAUAUAAUAUUGUGCUGUUUUUUUUUUCAAAAAAAAAAAGAAAAUAACGUAUCAGUUUGUUUAAGUAUUCGAAUCGUAUUGUUUAAGUGAACUCGUCCAUUUGCUGUUCCUCAAUUUUGUUAUCUCAUUUGCUUAUUGUUUGGUACCCUAAUAUCGCUUCUUCAAAAAAAAAAAGAAAAAAGAGUAAAGUUAAUCCGUGAACCCUGCACCCAAUUUUGUUCUAUAGAGUGACAGAGGAGUUUGGUUUAUUAUUGUACUUUUUUAAAGGAAUACAUCUCUUUUCUUGUGAAUGCUUGUAGAGAGGUACAAAAAUUUUGGUCAUUCAGUGGAUUUUUCUUAAAAAUUGUCAAUUUUGCCAAUGUGAACUUUAUCAAAUUUAAACCAAACUGCAAGUUUUUCUGCUGCAAUUUUUCUGAAGGAUUAAGCUCUUUUGCAGGGAAAAUUAUAUCUGUUGCUUCUUGGAACGACAGCUCUCAGUCUGGUAACAACGCCACUGCUCUUCAAGUUGAUUUCUGCCUUUGUUCAUCUUGGGGUCUUAUUGCGGUGGUUUUCUCCAGAUAGCCCGAGUGAGAUUGGAUAUAUAUAAAGGGGAUAAUCUUUGGUCAGACAGUGCUAAGCGUAUUGCUAUCUUGGUCCACGGCUCUCAUGAUUCAUGAUAUUAAACAUAAAAAUAUGAAAUGGUCAAGGAACGGACUGCGAAUGCCAACGAUUUCGUCAACGGUGGAUCUCAUGUGAUGGAAUAUGGGAGUAGAAGUAUAAGAGCAGAGAAGCUCUAUCUCUACCAAAAGGUUUUGAUCCUGCCACUGUUAACAACCCACCCAACAAUAACAAACUACACAUGGCUAUGGAAGUUGUGAACCAAAGAGAUGCAACUAUACUUCUAGAUUUGCUCAUGUGUGCACUUAAAAAUGUGACUCAAUAUUUAUGAAUUGAUGCAUGUACAAAUUUAAUAACUUUAACCAUUUGUUGUUUUUUUUUAAAAAAUAGUUUGUUGUACGUACUUAAAGAUUGUACUAUAAUAUAUAUUUCAUUAUAUAAAGAAAAAAGAAAUUAUUACCAUUAUUAAUUAUAUCAUUAUUAAUUAUAUAAUUAUUUUAUAUAAUUUACUACCAAAAACUGGUAAUAAAUAGUUGGACAUUAUAAUUUAUUAGUUUUGCUACUAAUUUUUGGUAGCAAAAUAAUUAUAUUGAAUAUUAAAAGCUAAUAAUUUUGCUACUAGAAUAAAUAUUAUUUGCUACCAAAAAAUUAGAAGCCAAAAAAAUAGUAUCAACUACCAAACAUUUGGUAGCAAAAUACUUUCAGCGACCGAGAUACAACUACCAAUUUGCUACCAAAAAAUUUGGUAGCAAAAAAAGUAUUAGCUACCAAAUAUAGAUUAUUUGCUACCAACUUUGUAGUA